CUCCCAUUUUAUCUCUUGCUCUUUGUUUUCCCUCUCUCACUGUGUGCUGUAACACCUGGCAGGAGGUUGGAGGCUCACUUAUGUGGUCCCUGAUAACUGGCAUCCAACAUCGCCUGAACUCACAGAAAUUUCCCCUGCUUGGUGAAUUGAGUAGGAGUGUUUCUUCAGUUUUGGGAUCUCACGUGAAGAUUCCAGAGAUAUCCAGUGCAGAGCUAAGGAAACCUACAGGUUGCAGAAGGAAAUGGCUGGUGGAAAUGCAGCAGGAAGAAUAACAUGGUUUCGAAAUGAGGCAAUUACAAACGUUCACCUAUGCUCAAGGGCCGGGACACAGACCUCUUCACUCUGUGGUAGCGGAACCAGCAGCACAUGGUAGGGAGUGCUGGCGUGUGGGGGAGAUACACUGUUGUUGCCUUCGUGGGGAAAAGGCAGUCUACUU
This 436-nucleotide long non-coding RNA is filed under the name Chinchilla lanigera (long-tailed chinchilla). RNAcentral's name for it is "lncRNA (ENSCLAG00000026447.1)". Lineage: Eukaryota; Metazoa; Chordata; Mammalia; Rodentia; Chinchillidae. The record is from RNAcentral.